GCGGCGGCAAGCGGAAACUGGCCAACUGGGGUAGGCGCGCGCGCGAGAGAGAGGGACGAUCUAGACGGAGCUGGGCUGCGAGCCCGGCCGCCGCGCUCGGUGGGCCGGAGGAGGAGAGGCAGGGCAGCUCGAGGAGAGAGACUGGUGCGCGUCGAUCUGCCCGGUGGCGGCUCGCGUGCCACUCCAAAGAACCGCCGCUGCCCUUCCUCUACUCGCUCGCCUUCAACGAAAACGGCUGAGAGAGAGGUGAGAUCUACUUAUGGCUUGAGACCUGCGGUAGACCACUCGGGUCUAGACACCCGUGGUCGACCUAGACUCAAAAACCCGUGUAUAGGAGGACUCGAGGGGGAGACGAGGGAACCAGCCUGAGAAGAAGGUGGAAGUCGCGUCGAGUGAGGUCCGUCCUCUAUCUCUUAUGUUACAACUCGGCUAAUGUUGUGUGUUCACCCCACUGUAGCGGCAAGAGCAAGCUCUACAAUUUUGUCUAGUGAUUAUUAAAAAGCCUCCUCGUGUAUUAACCAGCACCACGCAUACCUCACCAAAUGUUCCCUCAUAACCUGUUACCCUUUCUCUAACGACACUUCUUCGAAUUUAUGUACGGAGGUCUUGUACUGUCGUUAUUUGUUAAACUCUUACUCACAUGUUUGGAAUACCCCCAGGUUGUAGUUUUAUAGCACGCCAAUCAACCGAUGACAGUACUUUGUGCAGCACUUAUACACCUUGUGCCACCUUUUAUGCAAACCCGACUCCACCUACUUGCUCAAGAGACGAAACUUAUGAACGUCCCACCUUCGGAACUGUUUGUACAGAGACUGCUUGGUACGUUUGAACUAACCCUGUACACGAUGUUUUAUUAAUUCCCUCAGAGACUUCCAAAUUUAGUGGAAGUAUUCCUGAGGUAAAAGGUAAAACUGAACUUCGGACCUUUAUAUAACGACCUAUUGUUGUACUACGGCUUUUAACUGCUAAAACCAAAUAGUUCUAAGAAAGGAAGUCGUCUUUGGACGUGGUGUCGCUGCUUAAAACCUUGUAACCCCAUGUAUGGUGGUCUUGUGUAUUAGCCUGUGGUUUAGAGUGGCUUUAUACUACAUAAGUCAAACCCACAAUAUUAGCAUUAUUAUUACCGUCCUAAGUCCCCGAUGAUACUUAUAUUUCUAUGGCGAAGGAAACUUAAGUAGUUCGAACAUACACUUUACACCGUUUUUUCCCAUGUACGUUGCUGCACCAGUGUGUAUAGUGUUCUUCAAUUCUGUACGUAGCUUUAUCGCAAUUCUACAUAAUUCGUACUAGCUCUCCUUUCCGGAUGAUAUUCGGUUCAACAACUACAUGAAUCAUCCUAACUACAACUCUUCAACAGUGAAUUCACGCUCUGGUGAUUAAAUGUUUCGUGCCCCCGGAACCGGAUGUUACUUAUGUGCUGAAGGAGUAGAAGCUACCCUCAAGUACCACCAGGGUGAUGCCAACUUAAGUGUGGACCACUCCACCCUCUCCUACUAUCUAGCUACGUACUUUCACUGUGCCAACUCGGGUACUAAAUGCUUGUGCUCGGAUAGUACUCCAGCCUUCUUUCCGAAGUAUGAGGUCAGUGGUACCCAUGAUACCUAUGACAACCCCAAUAAUCACCGAAGUUCCUCACACUAUUAGAAAAAGUCACCCGAUCUAGAUGGUAAAGGAGGGUCACCUCACCAUGUGUUCUCGUCUCCGAAGUACUCCUUAACAAAGCUAACCCCUUACCGGAUGUUACGGAAUCCCUAUGAGAAGGGCGGUACAUACUAGAGUAACUAGCUCGUCUCACCUUCUAGGUGUUAGGAGCACACCGUCUCGAGGAAAGUUGUGAGUUUCUACGUCACAUACUACGGCUACUGGAAGAACUACUCAAGUCUACCAUGUACAACUUCCAUUUUCACCUGCCUUUACCUUCGGUUAGAGGAAAGUACCUGAAGAAGUUAUUACAACAAUUUCCUUCGAAAUAGUUUCACCAACGAUACGCCCUUUCCGACCUAUUAUAAAGGUAAGUGGAAGCAUCAUACCCCAAUGUACUUCAGUGUUGUGCCAAACUGUUUAGUCAGUCCGGUCUCUGAUCGAGAAAGGGUUUACUUUGUUUUUAGAAACCAGCACUGUACCUCGAUUUCGUAUAUUAACUUAACGAAACACGUGGUUAUUUAUCAUCACUACGAGUAGGGUUUGCGGUCUUUCCUUUAUGACGUCUUGUAGUCGUUCUUUGGUUUAACCAUUACUUAGUUCUUAUAGUCUAGAAGGACAAAAUGGGUAUCAACCUUAACCCCCACAACCUUUCUGGUGAGACCGAGUUGUAUAUACAUCAGUAUUUGUUCACCUCAGAGUAAAACUGUAUUAUUAAACCCAAACGCAGAGUCUACUGAAACUGCACUUCUCCAAUUGAUUUCUCCAGUGUCAGAACAGGACUUUUUAUACGUUGUUGACUUUUAAACUUAAACGAAGUCUUCUUGAAAAGACUCUAACGUUCUUGAUUUUUCAAUAACUAACAAGACCUACUAUACACCCUACUACAAAACUUCCUUUUACCCGUCACGACCUUGUCCAAAACACGUGGAAAUUUCUUACAUGAUGGCCCUUCAUACUACAACCAGUGAUGAUCUUCAGGUGUCCAACGACUGUCUCACCCGUGCUACCUAGGGUAAUGUAACCUUCCAAAUUUCCUACUACAAAAAACCUUAAAAAAGUUUAAUACACAAAAACUUAGACCCUCAAGGUUAUUAUUAUUAAACCUUUCGUAACCAUCUUCCUAUCAAGGAUUCAACUUCCCAAGAGGAAAUCGGCGGUUUUGAGAACCUGCUUAUAAUUCUUACUUGGAAGUUCAUCAUGUAACCUUACUACAUGAUCUCUCACUUAACACCUUCAACUCGGUCCUUCUCUGACUUUAGAACGGUCGGGAAGCCAACUCGAUGUACAUAAAUGGUAAAGUAAACUUCUCCACGAAGAGUAAAACACGUCACAUAGGGUUUCUAAUGUUUAAAGCCUUCCUGGUAAAUCGACUUUAAACCCACCGUCUUCCGAAACAACUUGGAGCACCACUAUGAGGUGAAGUUCUAUAACCUACACUUAUGAAGUUACUGGAAAAUUUAGCCAGGAAGAAAGUUCUUCAUGUUCCACCUAUGAAUUAAGUACUGAACGACGUACUGUACCGUGUCUUUCAAAGUCUCGUACUCACGAAGUAGUACUUUUCUUUCUCACUGAAAUUUCUAUAAGGAGGAUUACAAGCGGUAAACAGUUAUGAGAGAUCGUGUCUGUAACUUUUACGGUCGAACAACUCCGAUACGGUGAAGUCUUUCGAAGCAUGCGAAGAAAAACUGUUCGGAAAUCGUUUAUUUUUAUAAGGUUGAUCGUAAAACCUUUUUACCACCUCACUUGAAGACACAGAUGCACACUAACAAACGCAACGAUGAUUACUCAAUGGUCGACGAUAACCUUUGAACUUCGUAGAAGCCAUGGAAGUUUAGAACUCUCGAAGUGUAAAGUUCUCAGAAGGGCGACUCAAGACAGCCGACAUAUUAGACGUCUAAAAUUCACAAGUCCUUACGUUCGAUCUUUCGAACGGAUCACUGAAAUCAUUAGACUAUACGAAUGUCUCUAAACUUAGCAUACCUAAAGUUACAUCAAGUCACAACUCUUCAACGGGACUUCUUGAAAUAAAACUUCACUCACAACUACGUCGGUUACUACCUGUCCUUGCUCCUAAAUCCAACUACUUCUUAUAAUUGGUUCAACCACUUAACCUAUAUAUAUUAUAACUGUUCGAUUCAUUCCUCGUACGACGUCUUCGGGUUGAUGUCUUAUUCUUCAUAGAAUUCUAAGACUUUGACAGUACCAGUACCGGAGACACCUCAAGAGGCCUUCUGUCAUAUCUGCAGGAAGCUCAAGAUGUUGGAGGGUGGACGGAGUUCAGAGACGAGGAGGCACCAAUAGGUCCACAUAACGAAGGUCCCACCAACGGCUGACUCUAAAGCGGUUCGAAUUCCAGUGGAAAUAAAUAGUCAACACCUGAACUCUCGAGUAACCGUAGGUGAUUGGGUCUCGCAUAUUUGGGUUCACUCUAUGGCCUCCACGAAUGAUUGUUGUAAUUACUAUAAUGACCAUAAAAGAGUAGGGACAGCCUGGAUGAGUAACUAUUAACGGUUUUAAAUAGUACGGAGCUUGUACAACAUGUACGUUGCUGUUAGUUCUUUUAGUGUUAAUUUCUAACGUUGUUGAAUCAAAGUCAUGGUCGACUUUCUAAACCCCUAGAUACAACGGAACUUCUUAACUUCCACGUUCCUACAGGUUUAUAUAGACACGUUUAAAACCAACGUGGAAGAGAGUUCUCCGAACACGACCCAUUCCUCUCACUAAAAUCAAUACUACUGGGAUCAACACCGUUAGAGCGUCUGUUAUAUCUGACAACGUGGGAGUGUAUGAAAAAAAACAGUUCGUUGGUAGAGUGUAGGUAGGUUGAUCUUUACACCUUAGAAGGUCGUAACUUCCUCAACUUAUAAAGUGUAACAGCUAAAGAACUUAGAUAGUAACCUGUUAGACCUGUCCAGUAGUCUUUGUGACCACCUAGAUCUCGUAAGGGUAUAGAAUGAAGUGAUUGUUAACUUGCCACAAUGUUCGACAGUUGGUAACUACUAGAGGAUAGUCUUCUUAUAGAUGGACGGUAACUCUCUCAAACAUAGUCUAGAACACCGUCUAAUUUCAGGAACGUCCCACUUUCCAAACCCUUAAAAAGAAUAGACUUCCUAAACCUCUAGAGACUAACGUCAUCUGAGUCGACCUUCUUCCCUAAAGACAAUGGUAGAAGGGAGGUUUCUGAGUGGAAUAUAUUUACGCCCUUAUAGAGACGUACCCAAGGGUCGACGGAUGUUUUGGAAUGUAGGGAACAAUGUAACUCCUAACUACGUACAGCCGUGUAUUGUAGGUAAGGUCCGUCCGAAACCUCGUGAUCAGAGUGUAGUGAACUCUUAAAUAGCUAAAGUAUAACAGGUCUGUAACAUAGUUAACCUCCUCUUUUGCGUUAAAGUCUUUAUGUCUUACAUGUCUAAUUUGUGACAGUAUUCUACCUCCUAAAUUUCGUCGGGAACCUUUCUCCGUUAGCCAAGAGUACGUAGAGCUCUCACCUCGGUCAGAAGGAAAUACGUGGUGUGACCCUUCGUAGUAUGAGAAGUCACCUCUAACGAACAACGUCGUGUACCCUUAGUCAAAGUCUUUACUGUAAAACUGUGGGGUUCAGUGAACGAGAAAGUUAACGAGGCUACUCCCGAUCCGAAAGACGUACCUCUCGUAGGUACUAUACGCAGUUGGAGGGGCGAGAACGACGGAGACGUUUAGGGAGACCUAACGCUUACUACAUCGGGGUCGGAGGACACACUAGAAGAAGGAAUUUUCGACGUAGUUGUAAUUAAAAGUCCAUUGAACUACCGCCACCUCAGGUAAAAACGACACUACAACACCAAAAAGGACACGUGUACAGAAAGAAAUGAUAGGAAAUGUAAUGACUGGUUAAGAAAGAACAAGUGACCCGUGUUUCAAGACUCGAAAAUCGUCUUAGUUACAAUGCGGUAUCGUCUAGGAGGAAUAGUGAGCUCAAAAUGAGAUAGGUAAUAAGACAGGCGUCAGGUACAUUAUAGGUCAGAGGGGUAAAGCAGUAUGUUAUAAAACGCGAAAGAUAAGGUACACUUUAUUUACUCCGUUUUGUAGAUACGAUAACAUGGAAGAUACCGCAUACACACGGUAAUUAAACUAAAAAGAGUCAGUCGACAAUUCUUGUUAGAAAUAGUCCUAUAAGAGAAGGACACUCCUCAACUAUCAUCUACAAUAGGGCAAUUACGACAUCGUCAAAUUACAGACUUCUUUAAGAACUACGG
RNAcentral lists this ribosomal RNA (5879 nucleotides) under Triticum aestivum (bread wheat). RNAcentral's name for it is "partial small subunit ribosomal RNA". The record is from RNAcentral. Lineage: Eukaryota; Viridiplantae; Streptophyta; Magnoliopsida; Poales; Poaceae.